CCUACGGGUGGCAGCAGUGAGGAAUAUUGGUCAAUGGCCGAGAGGCUGAACCAGCCAAGUCGCGUGAGGGAAGACGGCCCUACGGGUUGUAAACCUCUUUUGUCGGGGAGCAAAGAGAGUCACGUGUGACUCAUUGAGAGUACCCGAAGAAAAAGCCUCGGCUAACUACGUGCCAGCAGCCGCGGUAAUACGGAGGAUGCGAGCGUUAUCCGGAUUUAUUGGGUUUAAAGGGUGCGAAGGCGGAGGUGCAAGUCAGCGGUCAAAUGUCUGGGCUCAACCCCUGCCUGCCGUCGGAACUGGGUGCCUUGAGUGGGCGAGAAGUAUGCGGCAUGCGUGGUGUAGCGGUGAAAUGCAUAGAUAGCACGCAGAACCCCGAUUGCGAAGGCAGCAUACCGGCGCCCUACUGACGCUGAGGCACGAAAGUGCGGGUAUCGAACAGGAUUAGAUACCCUAGUAGUC
This 459-nucleotide ribosomal RNA is filed under the name uncultured bacterium. RNAcentral's name for it is "partial 16S ribosomal RNA". It matches the Rfam family "Bacterial small subunit ribosomal RNA", at positions 338 to 795 of the family's 1533-position model. The record is from RNAcentral.